AAUCAACGCUGGCGGCGUGCCUCAGACAUGCAAGUCGAACGAUUAAAGCUCUCUUCGGAGAGUGCAUAGAGUGGCGCACGGGUGAGUAACACGUAAGUAAUCUACCUUCGAGUGGGGGAAUAACGUCCGGAAACGGACGCUAAUACCGCAUAAUGCAGCGGCAUCGUAAGAUGACAGUUGUUAAAGAUUUAUCGCUUGAAGAGGAGCUUGCGGCAGAUUAGCUAGUUGGUAAGGUAAUGGCUUACCAAGGCUACGAUCUGUAACCGGUCUUAGAGGACGGUCGGUCACACUGACACUGAAUAACGGGUCAGACUCCUACGGGAGGCAGCAGUCGGGAAUUUGGGCAAUGGGCGAAAGCCUGACCCAGCAACGCCGCGUGAAGGAUGAAGUAUUUCGGUAUGUAAACUUCGAAAGAAUAGGAAGAAUAAAU
RNAcentral lists this ribosomal RNA (430 nucleotides) under uncultured bacterium. RNAcentral's name for it is "bacterial SSU rRNA". It matches the Rfam family "Bacterial small subunit ribosomal RNA", at positions 32 to 454 of the family's 1533-position model. The record is from RNAcentral.